RNAcentral lists this ribosomal RNA (192 nucleotides) under Triticum aestivum (bread wheat). RNAcentral describes it as "partial small subunit ribosomal RNA". Lineage: Eukaryota; Viridiplantae; Streptophyta; Magnoliopsida; Poales; Poaceae. The record is from RNAcentral.
AUGAGGCAGCGGUGCGGUGGCAGCUGCUCGCUGGUCUUGGCGCGGGUUGCCAUGGCCAUGGCCGUGGUCGGUGGAGGAAGGCAAGGCGGAGCGGCGACCAAGGGGCAGCGCUCGGCGGCGUUCGAGGGAGGAGCUGGCGAUGGGGGGUUGCGUGGGAUCGGGAGGAAGGGGUCUAGGGGGCUCGCGACAUAA